UCGAGAAUCUUCCGCAAUGGGCGCAAGCCUGACGGAGCGACGCCGCGUGCGGGAUGAAGGCCUUCGGGUUGUAAACCGCUGUCAGUUGGGAGGAAAUCCAUAGGGGUUCUCCCCUAUGGUUGACCUAUCUUCAGAGGAAGGGCGGGCUAAGUUCGUGCCAGCAGCCGCGGUAAGACGAACCGCCCGAACGUUAUUCGGAAUCACUGGGCUUAAAGGGUGCGUAGGCGGCUUGGCAAGUUGGGUGUGAAAUCCCUCGGCUCAACCGAGGAACUGCGCUCAAAACUGCCAGGCUUGAGGAAGAUAGAGGUGAGCGGAACUUAUGGUGGAGCGGUGAAAUGCGUUGAUAUCAUAAGGAACACCUGUGGCGAAAGCGGCUCACUGGAUCUUUUCUGACGCUGAGGCACGAAAGCUAGGGUAGCGAACGGGAUUAGAUACCCCCGUAGUCC
RNAcentral lists this ribosomal RNA (446 nucleotides) under uncultured prokaryote. RNAcentral's name for it is "bacterial SSU rRNA". It matches the Rfam family "Bacterial small subunit ribosomal RNA", at positions 355 to 796 of the family's 1533-position model. The record is from RNAcentral.